This 19-nucleotide ribosomal RNA is filed under the name Peltigera aphthosa. RNAcentral describes it as "partial 26S ribosomal RNA". Lineage: Eukaryota; Fungi; Ascomycota; Lecanoromycetes; Peltigerales; Peltigeraceae. The record is from RNAcentral. RNAcentral also lists the same sequence under 2 other names.
UUGACCUCGAAUCAGGUGA